UAGGGAAUCUUCGGCAAUGGACGAAAGUCUGACCGAGCAACGCCGCGUGAGUGAAGAAGGUUUUCGGAUCGUAAAACUCUGUUGUUAGAGAAGAACAAGGACGUUAGUAACUGAACGUCCCCUGACGGUAUCUAACCAGAAAGCCACGGCUAACUACGUGCCAGCAGCCGCGGUAAUACGUAGGUGGCAAGCGUUGUCCGGAUUUAUUGGGCGUAAAGCGAGCGCAGGCGGUUUCUUAAGUCUGAUGUGAAAGCCCCCGGCUCAACCGGGGAGGGUCAUUGGAAACUGGGAGACUUGAGUGCAGAAGAGGAGAGUGGAAUUCCAUGUGGAGCGGUGAACUGCGUAGAUAUAUGGAGGAACACCAGUGGCGAAGGCGGCUCUCUGGUCUGUAACUGACGCUGAGGCUCGAAAGCGUGGGGAGCAAACAGG
This 429-nucleotide ribosomal RNA is filed under the name Gemmatimonadota bacterium. RNAcentral's name for it is "Gemmatimonadetes bacterium partial 16S ribosomal RNA". It matches the Rfam family "Bacterial small subunit ribosomal RNA", at positions 355 to 776 of the family's 1533-position model. The record is from RNAcentral. Lineage: Bacteria; Pseudomonadati; Gemmatimonadota.